AUUGAACGCUGGCGGCAGGCCUAACACAUGCAAGUCGAGCGGUAGCACAGAGAGCUUGCUCUCGGGUGACGAGCGGCGGACGGGUGAGUAAUGUCUGGGAAACUGCCUGAUGGAGGGGGAUAACUACUGGAAACGGUAGCUAAUACCGCAUAACGUCGCAAGACCAAAGUGGGGGACCUUCGGGCCUCAUGCCAUCAGAUGUGCCCAGAUGGGAUUAGCUAGUAGGUGGGGUAACGGCUCACCUAGGCGACGAUCCCUAGCUGGUCUGAGAGGAUGACCAGCCACACUGGAACUGAGACACGGUCCAGACUCCUACGGGAGGCAGCAGUGGGGAAUAUUGCACAAUGGGCGCAAGCCUGAUGCAGCCAUGCCGCGUGUGUGAAGAAGGCCUUCGGGUUGUAAAGCACUUUCAGCGGGGAGGAAGGCGGUGAGGUUAAUAACCUCAUCGAUUGACGUUACCCGCAGAAGAAGCACCGGCUAACUCCGUGCCAGCAGCCGCGGUAAUACGGAGGGUGCAAGCGUUAAUCGGAAUUACUGGGCGUAAAGCGCACGCAGGCGGUCUGUCAAGUCGGAUGUGAAAUCCCCGGGCUCAACCUGGGAACUGCAUUCGAAACUGGCAGGCUAGAGUCUUGUAGAGGGGGGUAGAAUUCCAGGUGUAGCGGUGAAAUGCGUAGAGAUCUGGAGGAAUACCGGUGGCGAAGGCGGCCCCCUGGACAAAGACUGACGCUCAGGUGCGAAAGCGUGGGGAGCAAACAGGAUUAGAUACCCUGGUAGUCCACGCUGUAAACGAUGUCGAUUUGGAGGUUGUGCCCUUGAGGCGUGGCUUCCGGAGCUAACGCGUUAAAUCGACCGCCUGGGGAGUACGGCCGCAAGGUUAAAACUCAAAUGAAUUGACGGGGGCCCGCACAAGCGGUGGAGCAUGUGGUUUAAUUCGAUGCAACGCGAAGAACCUUACCUGGUCAUGACAUCCACAGAACUUUCCAGAGAUGGAUUGGUGCCUUCGGGAACUGUGAGACAGGUGCUGCAUGGCUGUCGUCAGCUCGUGUUGUGAAAUGUUGGGUUAAGUCCCGCAACGAGCGCAACCCUUAUCCUUUGUUGCCAGCGGUUAGGCCGGGAACUCAAAGGAGACUGCCAGUGAUAAACUGGAGGAAGGUGGGGAUGACGUCAAGUCAUCAUGGCCCUUACGACCAGGGCUACACACGUGCUACAAUGGCAUAUACAAAGAGAAGCGACCUCGCGAGAGCAAGCGGACCUCAUAAAGUAUGUCGUAGUCCGGAUUGGAGUCUGCAACUCGACUCCAUGAAGUCGGAAUCGCUAGUAAUCGUAGAUCAGAAUGCUACGGUGAAUACGUUCCCGGGCCU
RNAcentral lists this ribosomal RNA (1361 nucleotides) under uncultured bacterium. RNAcentral describes it as "bacterial SSU rRNA". It matches the Rfam family "Bacterial small subunit ribosomal RNA", at positions 28 to 1381 of the family's 1533-position model. The record is from RNAcentral.